Non-coding RNA from Schizosaccharomyces pombe (fission yeast), 425 nucleotides. Lineage: Eukaryota; Fungi; Ascomycota; Schizosaccharomycetes; Schizosaccharomycetales; Schizosaccharomycetaceae. The record is from the annotation of a GenBank genome assembly.
UAAUAUUUAAUUCUGGUGUUUAUUACUAGAAUCGCUCUUAAAUUAUUACAGGUUUUAGAUCAUAAGCUGACAUCAAGCGUAAAGCUUGUGAUGCAAAAUUUUAUUUCAGCUUCGAACAUCAGUUCUAUAAUUUAAAAAAAAAAAAAUUGAAUAUCGAGUAACAGCUUUCUAUUUUGUGUCUUAAAAAAAAAGAGAUUGCAAGUUUUCUCCGAUAUAUCCGAAGCAUCAGCAUACUAUAGCCGGAAAUGAAGUGAUGAAAUGACAUUGUACGAUCCCUGCUCAUUUCAUUUCAUCUACAAAUAUUAACCAUUAAUACAACAAAAGAACAUCAUUACUCUUAACCAUGCCAAUAGCUCCCCUUGGAUAUACCAAUAUGUCAAAAAUCAUGUUGAGACAAUUUAAAUGCCAAUAUAUAAUCUACAUGG